This 467-nucleotide ribosomal RNA is filed under the name uncultured bacterium. RNAcentral's name for it is "partial 16S ribosomal RNA". It matches the Rfam family "Bacterial small subunit ribosomal RNA", at positions 28 to 506 of the family's 1533-position model. The record is from RNAcentral.
GACGAACGCUGGCGGCGUGCUUAACACAUGCAAGUCGAACGGAAAGGCCCUGCUUUUGUGGGGUGCUCGAGUGGCGAACGGGUGAGUAACACGUGAGUAACCUGCCCUUGACUUUGGGAUAACUUCAGGAAACUGGGGCUAAUACCGGAUAGGAGCUCCUGCUGCAUGGUGGGGGUUGGAAAGUUUCGGCGGUUGGGGAUGGACUCGCGGCUUAUCAGCUUGUUGGUGGGGUAGUGGCUUACCAAGGCUUUGACGGGUAGCCGGCCUGAGAGGGUGACCGGCCACAUGGGGCCGGGGAUACGGCCAGGACUCCUACGGGAGGCAGCAGUGGGGAAUAUUGCACAAUGGGCGGAAGCCGGAUGCAGCAACGCCGCGUGCGGGAUGACGGCCUUCGGGUUGUAAACCGCUUUCGCCUGUGACGAAGCGUGAGUGACGGUAAUGGGUAAAGAAGCACCGGCUAAUUACGU